This 465-nucleotide ribosomal RNA is filed under the name uncultured bacterium. RNAcentral's name for it is "partial 16S ribosomal RNA". It matches the Rfam family "Bacterial small subunit ribosomal RNA", at positions 338 to 795 of the family's 1533-position model. The record is from RNAcentral.
CCUACGGGUGGCAGCAGUGGGGAAUAUUGCACAAUGGGCGAAAGCCUGACGCAGCGACGCCGCGUGAGGGAUGAAGGUCUUCGGAUCGUAAACCUCUGUCAGCAGGGAAGAACGGUCACUGGGCUAAUCAGCAGUGAAUUGACGGUAACUGCGAAGGAAGCACCGGCGAACUCCGUGCCAGCAGACGCGGUAAUACGGAGGGUGCGAGCGUUAAUCGGAAUUACUGUGCGUAAAGCGCGCGUAGGCGGUAUGGCAAGUCAAGAGUGAAAUCCCCGGGCUCAACGUCGGAACUGCCUUUGAAACUGGUGAACUUGAGUGUGUGAGAGGAAAGUGGAAUUCCAGGUGGAGCGGUGAAAUCCGUAGAUAUCUGGAGGAACAUCAGUGGCGAAGGCGACUAUCUGGAACAUAACUGACGUUGAGGAGCGAAAGCGUGGGUAGCAAACAGGAUUAGAUACCCCGGUAGUC